Molecule: non-coding RNA, 105 nt
Organism: Pelobates cultripes (western spadefoot toad)
Lineage: Eukaryota; Metazoa; Chordata; Amphibia; Anura; Pelobatidae
Source: the annotation of a GenBank genome assembly
UACACUGACGCGUUUUACCUUAUUAACAGGCUUUCUCAAAGUGUACAAAGUAUACAAAGUGUUCUUUUGAGAAAGCCUGUCAAUAAGGUGAAAUGCGUUAGUGUG